UCACUUCUCUGAUAAGUGGAAUUUCUCGUACACCCCCUGUCUUGGUGAAAUCUUAGAGGUAUUUCUCGUACACCCCUCUGUCUUGGUGACAAUCCAGAGGUAUUUCGCCAAAACACCCCUCCAGUGGUGAAUUCAGAGGUAUUUCUCGUACACCCCCUGACUUGGUGACAAUCCAGAGGUAUUUCGCCAAAACACUCCUCUGGUGGUGAAUUCAGAGGUAUUUCUCCUACACCCCCUGACUUGGUGACAAUCCAAAGGUAUUUCGCCAAAACACCCCUCCGGUGGUGAAUUCAGAGGUAUUUCUCGUACACCCUCUGACUUGGUGACAAUCCAGAGGUAUUUCGCCAAAACACCCCUCCAGUAGUGAAUUCAAAGGUAUUUCUCGUACACCCUCUGACUUGGUGACAAUCCAGAUAUAGUCUUAUCCUUGGAGGGGACUUCCCUUGGGAG
RNAcentral lists this long non-coding RNA (450 nucleotides) under Zostera marina. Its description in RNAcentral is "long non-coding RNA (ZMAR_LNC002278)". The record is from RNAcentral. Lineage: Eukaryota; Viridiplantae; Streptophyta; Magnoliopsida; Alismatales; Zosteraceae.